GAUGAACGCUAGGCGGGAGGCUUAAUACAUGCAAGUCGAGCGGUAAGGUUUUCGGACCCUAGAGCGGCGAACGGGUGAGUAACGCGUACGAAACCUACCUUUAAGAGAGGGAUAGCCCUGGGAAACUGGGAGUAAUACCUCAUAGUAUUCAAUAACCGCAUGGUUUAUGGAUUAAAGCUGCGGCGCUUAAAGAUGGUCGUGCGUCUGAUUAGCUAGUUGGUAGGGUAACGGCCUACCAAGGCUACGAUCAGUAGGGGGCGUGAGAGCGUGGCCCCCCACACGGGUACUGAGACACGGACCCGACUCCUACGGGAGGCAGCAGUAAGGAAUAUUGGGCAAUGGACGGAAGUCUGACCCAGCCAUCCCGCGUGCAGGACGAAUGCCCUAUGGGUUGUAAACUGCUUUUGUUUGGGAAGAAAUGUAUUCUUUUAAGAGUAUUUGACGGUACCAGACGAAUAAGCACCGGCUAACUCCGUG
This 477-nucleotide ribosomal RNA is filed under the name uncultured bacterium. RNAcentral describes it as "bacterial SSU rRNA". It matches the Rfam family "Bacterial small subunit ribosomal RNA", at positions 28 to 507 of the family's 1533-position model. The record is from RNAcentral.